AGGAGAAAUCCUGGCUAAUACCGCAUAAGUAAGUAAUUAGAAAGGAUGCUCCGGCAUUCGCCGAAGAUGAGCCUGCGGGACAUUAGCUUGAUGGUGAGGUAAUGGCUUACCAUGGCUUCGGUGUCUAGCUGGUCUGAGAGGAUGAUCAGCCACACUGGAACUGAGACACGGUCCAGACUCCUACGGGAGGCAGCAGUGGGGAAUAUUGCGCAAUGGGGGAAACCCUGACGCAGCAACGCCGCGUGAGUGAGGAAGGCUUUCGGGUCGUAAAGCUCUGUCAGAUGGGAAGAAAGUGCAUUGGUCUAAUAGGCCAGUGUAUUGACGGUACCUUCAAAGGAAGCACCGGCUAACUUCGUGCCAGCAGCCGCGGUAAUACGAAGGGUGCAAGCGUUAUUCGGAUUUACUGGGCGUAAAGCGCGCGCAGGCGGAUUGGUAAGUCAGAUGUGAAAUCUCGGGGCUCAACCCCGAAACUGCGUCUGAAACUAUCAAUCUAGAGUCUUGGAGGGGGAAGUGGAAUUUCGCAUGUAGGGGUAAAAUCCGUAGAGAUGCGAAGGAACACCAGAG
Molecule: ribosomal RNA, 564 nt
Filed under: uncultured bacterium
Lineage: Bacteria
Description: bacterial SSU rRNA
Rfam family: Bacterial small subunit ribosomal RNA
Source: RNAcentral